This 1326-nucleotide long non-coding RNA is filed under the name Ananas comosus (pineapple). RNAcentral's name for it is "long non-coding RNA (ACOM_LNC023771)". Lineage: Eukaryota; Viridiplantae; Streptophyta; Magnoliopsida; Poales; Bromeliaceae. The record is from RNAcentral.
AAAAAAAAAAAAGCAAAUUAAUCUCUAAGAUUUUUGUUUGUCAAAUUUUAACUGCUAAAUUUUGAAAGAAAAGAAAAGAUCAAAAAGAGAAAUAUUUUGUAUGUUACUAUAUAUAUAUAUCCCGCUAUAUUGCUGAAGUGUUGGCACUCAUGUAUAAAAGAUUUAAAAUUUAAAAUUUAAUAAUAAUAUUUUGAAAUUUUGAGUUUAAUUAUAAUGCUGUCAAUUAAAUAAUGUUGUGGGGGCAGCCACAUGAGAUAUCUGCAGCAGUGCUGUUUCAAAAAUUCAGACCAGACAUGAUUGAAAAGCUAGCUGUGAAAAUAAAUGAUUGAAAGGACAUAUAUGGAGCAGUAACACAAAAUGCCACCCUAUAUAUAUAUGUGUGGGUCUCCCCAGAUAGCUCUACUCCGUGAUAAAAAGGGAUUUUAAAAAUUAUUAGUAUUUUUUUUAUUUAUUUUACUUUCAAAAAAUGUAUAAUUUGCUUUUUUUAAAAAAAAUUAAAAAAUAUUUUCAAAAGAGCUAUUGCAUUAAUAAAGAUGGCAAAAUGAGCCAAUUAUUUUUAUUUAUUCUAUAAAAAAACAAAUUUUUAAUGUGUUUUUUUAAAAAAUAAUUUAUGUAUAAAUUUUAAGAAAUAGACGGAAUAAUGGUAAAAUUAAUCCUAACGAAAGGGAUUAAAUGCAUCAACUUAAAAUUUUAUAUUAAAAGUCACGAGAUAAAAAUAAAAAAAAUAAAUAUUUACAUAAAUUUCUUUUAUAUUUUAGCUUUUAAAAAUUACUAAGUCUACAACAUGAAAAAGAUUACAGAAUUACAAUUUCUAAUCUAAGAAUUGUAACACAAACAUUUAGGCUAAAAAUUUAUUUUUUCGCAUUUUAGUAAUACAAAAAGAAGAAGAUAGAGAAUUAUGGACAUAAUAAGAUUACAAUCAACUUUUGAUUGGUGGGCUAACAUUGCUAUAAAAUAAAAAUAAAAAAAAAGAUAAAUAAAUAAGGGGAAACUUCAAAUACCCCUUCUGUGGUUUUGUACUUUUUCACUUUAGUAUCUUAUGGUUUAAAAUGUAUCAAGUAAGUACUUUGUGAUUUCACACUUUCUCACUUUAGUACCCUGUAAUUUUAAGUGUAUCAAGUUAGUACCCUAUGGUUUCGCACUUUCUCACUUUAGUAUCCUAUGGUUUAAUAUUUCGUUAAAUUAUAUACCCCGAAAUGAAUAAUAAAAAUAAAAAAUUGAACAAGAUACUAACUUAAUAUACAAAUAAAAUCACAGAGUACUAACUUGAUACACCUGAAAUCAAAGGGUACUUAAAUGAGAAAGUGCCACAGGUAUUUGAAGUUU